This 445-nucleotide ribosomal RNA is filed under the name uncultured bacterium. RNAcentral describes it as "partial 16S ribosomal RNA". It matches the Rfam family "Bacterial small subunit ribosomal RNA", at positions 329 to 792 of the family's 1533-position model. The record is from RNAcentral.
CGCCAGACUCCUACGGGAGGCAGCAGUAGGGAAUUUUGCGCAAUGGGGGAAACCCUGACGCAGCAACACCGCGUGAAUGUUAAGCCCUUCGGGGUGUAAAGUUCUGUCAAUAGGGACGAAUUUUGACUGUACCUAUAAAGGAAGCACCGGCUAACUCCGUGCCAGCAGCCGCGGUAAUACGGAGGAUGCGAGCGUUAUCCGGAUUUAUUGGGUUUAAAGGGUGCGCAGGCGGCGUGUCAAGUCAGCGGUAAAAUGUCGGGGCUCAACCCCGGCCGGCCGUUGAAACUGGCGUGCUCGAGUUGGAGAGAAGUAUGCGGAAUUCGUGGUGUAGCGGUGAAAUGCAUAGAUAUCACGAAGAACCCCGAUUGCGAAGGCAGCAUACCGGCUCCACACUGACGCUGAGGCACGAAAGCGUGGGUAUCGAACAGGAUUAGAUACCCCAGUA